This 494-nucleotide ribosomal RNA is filed under the name uncultured Archaeospora. Its description in RNAcentral is "SSU rRNA". It matches the Rfam family "Eukaryotic small subunit ribosomal RNA", at positions 591 to 1092 of the family's 1831-position model. The record is from RNAcentral. Lineage: Eukaryota; Fungi; Glomeromycota; Glomeromycetes; Archaeosporales; Archaeosporaceae.
CCAAUAGCGUAUAUUAAAGUUGUUGCAGUUAAAAAGCUCGUAGUUGAAUUUUAGGCCUGGCCGGGCGGUCCGUCUUUGGCGAGUACUGUCCUGUGUCGGGUCCACCUUCUGGUGAACCAGUAUGUCCUUUAUUGGGUGUGCCGGGGAGCCAGGACCAUUACCUUGAAAAAAUUAGAGUGUUUAAAGCAGGCAUUUGCUUGAAUAGAUUAGCAUGGAAUAAUAGAAUAGGACGUUGUGGUUCUAUUUUGUUGGUUUCUAGGACCACCGUAAUGAUUAAUAGGGAUAGUUGGGGGCAUUAGUAUUCAAUUGUCAGAGGUGAAAUUCUUGGAUUUAUUGAAGACUAACUAUUGCGAAAGCAUUUGCCAAGGAUGUUUUCAUUAAUCAAGAACGAAAGUUAGGGGAUCGAAGACGAUCAGAUACCGUCGUAGUCUUAACCAUAAACUAUGCCGACUAGGGAUCAGGCAAGGAUAUUUUGACUUGUUUGGCACCUUAUG